GUGCUCACUUCGGCAGCACAUAUACUAAAAUUGGAAUAAGAAGAUUAGCAUGGCCCCUGUGCAAGGAUGACACACAAAUUUGUGAAGUGUGCCAUAUUUUU
Molecule: small nuclear RNA, 101 nt
Organism: Homo sapiens (human)
Lineage: Eukaryota; Metazoa; Chordata; Mammalia; Primates; Hominidae
Source: Ensembl